AUGGCGCAUGCCCUUGCCCUCUCCGCGGUCGGCGAUUGCGUGGUGCCGCCGGUGGCCCCGCCGUCCCUUCCCCGACGCCUUGUCAAGGCUGACCCGGAGCCGCAGCCGGAGCCCGAGCGGGAGCUGGAGCCCAUCGCGCGCUUCCUGGACGGGAGUGGUGCGCGAGUGGGUGUCCGCGCCACCGGUUUGGAUGGGGGCGACCCCGACGCAGGAGGCGGCAUACCUCGAGAUGUGGCGCCAGCGAUGGCUGGACGAGGAGCGCAACGACGACAAGUACGAGGAGAUGCUCGAGCGCGACCUCGAGGAGGAGGCGCGCGAGGUUGA
This 324-nucleotide ribosomal RNA is filed under the name Triticum aestivum (bread wheat). RNAcentral's name for it is "partial small subunit ribosomal RNA". The record is from RNAcentral. Lineage: Eukaryota; Viridiplantae; Streptophyta; Magnoliopsida; Poales; Poaceae.